Molecule: ribosomal RNA, 796 nt
Filed under: Ruegeria sp. AU103_Ted2_MB
Lineage: Bacteria; Pseudomonadati; Pseudomonadota; Alphaproteobacteria; Rhodobacterales; Roseobacteraceae
Description: bacterial SSU rRNA
Rfam family: Bacterial small subunit ribosomal RNA
Source: RNAcentral
UGCAGUCGAGCGCACCUUCGGGUGAGCGGCGGACGGGUUAGUAACGCGUGGGAACAUACCCUUUGGUACGGAAUAGCCUCUGGAAACGGAGAGUAAUACCGUAUGAGCCCUUCGGGGGAAAGAUUUAUCGCCAAAGGAUUGGCCCGCGUUAGAUUAGGUAGUUGGUGGGGUAAUGGCCUACCAAGCCUACGAUCUAUAGCUGGUUUUAGAGGAUGAUCAGCAACACUGGGACUGAGACACGGCCCAGACUCCUACGGGAGGCAGCAGUGGGGAAUCUUGGACAAUGGGGGCAACCCUGAUCCAGCCAUGCCGCGUGAGUGAUGAAGGCCUUAGGGUCGUAAAGCUCUUUCGCCUGUGAAGAUAAUGACGGUAGCAGGUAAAGAAACCCCGGCUAACUCCGUGCCAGCAGCCGCGGUAAUACGGAGGGGGUUAGCGUUGUUCGGAAUUACUGGGCGUAAAGCGCACGUAGGCGGACUGGAAAGUUGGGGGUGAAAUCCCAGGGCUCAACCCUGGAACUGCCUCCAAAACUAUCAGUCUAGAGUUCGAGAGAGGUGAGUGGAAUUCCGAGUGUAGAGGUGAAAUUCGUAGAUAUUCGGAGGAACACCAGUGGCGAAGGCGGCUCACUGGCUCGAUACUGACGCUGAGGUGCGAAAGUGUGGGGAGCAAACAGGAUUAGAUACCCUGGUAGUCCACACCGUAAACGAUGAAUGCCAGUCGUCGGGUAGCAUGCUAUUCGGUGACACACCUAACGGAUUAAGCAUUCCGCCUGGGGAGUACGGUCGCAAGAUUAAAACUC